GGAUGUGAGGGCAAUCUGGCUGCCACAUCUGUCGCAGGGUUGAUUCAGCUGAUCUGGCUGGCCAGGCAGGUGUCCCCUUCCUCCCUCACCGCUCCAUGUGCAUCCCUCCCGAAGCUGCGCGCUCAGUCAAAGAGGACGACCAUCCCCGCUAGAGGAGGACCAGUCUUCGGUCAAGGGUAUACGAGUAGCUGCGCUCCCCUGCUAGAACCUCCAAAGAAGCUCUCAAGAGUCAUCCCUUCAUUAUUUAUCGCCUCUGGGCAAACAUUCAAGACAAAUCUAGGCAUAAUCCAAAUAGGGAAAUACAGUCUCUGCUUU
RNAcentral lists this small nuclear RNA (315 nucleotides) under Macaca nemestrina (pig-tailed macaque). RNAcentral describes it as "7SK RNA (ENSMNEG00000001742.1)". It matches the Rfam family "7SK RNA". Rfam says of the family: 7SK was discovered as an abundant small nuclear RNA in the mid-70s but a possible function has only recently been suggested. Two independent studies have found that 7SK RNA binds the CDK9/cyclin T complex (known as elongation factor P-TEFb). Lineage: Eukaryota; Metazoa; Chordata; Mammalia; Primates; Cercopithecidae. The record is from Rfam by way of RNAcentral.